RNAcentral lists this ribosomal RNA (451 nucleotides) under uncultured bacterium. Its description in RNAcentral is "bacterial SSU rRNA". It matches the Rfam family "Bacterial small subunit ribosomal RNA", at positions 354 to 796 of the family's 1533-position model. The record is from RNAcentral.
GUGGGGAAUAUUGGACAAUGGGGGGAACCCUGAUCCAGUCAUGCCGCGUGUGUGAAGAAGGCCUUUUGGUUGUAAAGCACUUUAAGCGAGGAGGAGGCUACCGAGAUUAAUACUCUUGGAUAGUGGACGUUACUCGCAGAAUAAGCACCGGCUAACUCUGUGCCAGCAGCCGCGGUAAUACAGAGGGUGCAAGCGUUAAUCGGAUUUACUGGGCGUAAAGCGCGCGUAGGUGGCCAAUUAAGUCAAAUGUGAAAUCCCCGAGCUUAACUUGGGAAUUGCAUUCGAUACUGGUUGGCUAGAGUAUGGGAGAGGAUGGUAGAAUUCCAGGUGUAGCGGUGAAAUGCGUAGAGAUCUGGAGGAAUACCGAUGGCGAAGGCAGCCAUCUGGCCUAAUACUGACACUGAGGUGCGAAAGCAUGGGGAGCAAACAGGAUUAGAAACCCCAGUAGUCC